UUUAUUUAUUUGUUUAUUUAUUUUUGUUCCUAAUUCUUUCUUUUCUUCAGGUUUGUGUAAUUGUUUAUGUAUUCUGAUUUUAUUUCGUAAUUUUUAUAUUCGGUGAAUGAUUGUUUUGAUACAAUGAUUGGUUUUCUUUCAAGGGUUUUAAUGGGGAUGUAGGCAUGGCUGUUUCUUUAUUUCCCUGAAUGAUCGAGUAUAUCUGCUUUUUUUUUUUUUGAAAUAAUUUUUUAAUCAUAUUUGUUUAUUGGCCACUGGGGCUGGUGGGUACCUGUGUGGGAUUUUCAAGGCUUCUACGGAAGGUGCCAUUUGACUUUGAAAUCAAUAAAAGAGGGUCUGUUCAUCAGACCAGGGGUUUUCGGUGGUAGUGGUGGUGACGAUCAUUGUUUUGAUACUUUAAGAGGAUUUUUUUUGUUGAUGGGCUAUGGUAGGAUUCAUGGGAUUUUGGUUCUAAUGGAAACAAGAUUGGAGUCUGUUAUGGUUUCCUUUCAUUGGGUUUGAAUGAUUUAGUCAUUCUGAUGGACUCAAAGUUCGAAUCUUUGGUGCUAAUUUGUUAAUGCGAUGGGAGAUAUUUACUUCCUUGAGUUUUGGAAGGUCCUUUCUUGAAUUUGAGGCUUCUUCUUCUAUUCAUCUGAGGAGACAAAGGUUGGCUGAGGAGUAUUUUUGCUUAUAGCAAUUUGUUCUAGGGUUUCAUUACUGGGAUAAAGAAGCGACAAGGUGAAAUAAAUGGAAGAAGAAAAUAG
Molecule: unclassified non-coding RNA, 743 nt
Filed under: Hevea brasiliensis (rubber tree)
Lineage: Eukaryota; Viridiplantae; Streptophyta; Magnoliopsida; Malpighiales; Euphorbiaceae
Source: RNAcentral